RNAcentral lists this ribosomal RNA (911 nucleotides) under uncultured Acidobacteriota bacterium. RNAcentral describes it as "bacterial SSU rRNA". It matches the Rfam family "Bacterial small subunit ribosomal RNA", at positions 58 to 944 of the family's 1533-position model. The record is from RNAcentral. Lineage: Bacteria; Pseudomonadati; Acidobacteriota.
CAAGUCGAGCGAGGCCAGGGGGGCAACUCCCUGAGUCGAGCGGCGGACGGGUGAGUAACACGUGGGUAACCUACCCGGAAGUGGGGAAUACCUCGGGGAAACUCGAGCUAAUACCGCAUGACAUCUUUGGGACGAAAGUCCUGACGAUCAAAGCGGGGUCGCAAGAUCUCGCGCUACCGGAUGGGCCCGCGCCCGAUUAGCUAGUUGGCGAGGUAAUGGCUCACCAAGGCGACGAUCGGUAACCGGCCUGAGAGGGCGAUCGGUCACACCGGAACUGAGACACGGUCCGGACUCCUACGGGAGGCAGCAGUGGGGAAUCUUGCGCAAUGGGCGAAAGCCUGACGCAGCAACGCCGCGUGGAGGAUGAAGGCCCUUGGGUUGUAAACUCCUGUCGGCUGGGAAGAACUCGUUCGCGACUAAUACACGCGGACGUUGACUGUACCAGCAAAGGAAGCCCCGGCUAACUCUGUGCCAGCAGCCGCGGUAAUACAGAGGGGGCUAGCGUUAUUCGGAAUUAUUGGGCGUAAAGGGCGCGUAGGCGGCUUUGCGUGUCUUCCGUGAAAUCCCUCGGCUCAACCGAGGACGUGCGGAAGAAACUGCAAGGCUCGAGUCCGGAAGAGGGGGGCGGAAUUCCCAGUGUAGCGGUGAAAUGCGUAGAUAUUGGGAGGAACACCAGUGGCGAAGGCGGUCCCCUGGGCCGGAACUGACGCUGAGGCGCGAAAGCGUGGGUAGCAAACGGGAUUAGAUACCCCGGUAGUCCACGCCGUAAACGAUGGGCACUUGGUGUCGCGGGUAUCGACCCCUGCGGUGCCGAAGCUAACGCAUUAAGUGCCCCGCCCGGGGGAGUACGGUCGCAAGGCUGAAACUCAAAGGAAUUGACGGGGGGCCCGCACAAGCGGUGGAGCAUGUUG